This 2995-nucleotide long non-coding RNA is filed under the name Homo sapiens (human). RNAcentral describes it as "HSALNT0302919". Lineage: Eukaryota; Metazoa; Chordata; Mammalia; Primates; Hominidae. The record is from RNAcentral.
UGGCUAUAAAAGACCACAAACAGCUGCUGCCCUUCAGAGCUAUUGACCUAGAGAUUCCUCACCUUGCUGCUUAGUGAUGUUACCUAGACAUGUUAAGAUCCCUCUUGUUAGGAAUUCCAUGAAGCCUGAAAAUGAAGCCAGCGUAGUGGAGAAUGAAGAGACAGAGUUUUGAUUACAAGGUUUGAACCGUUUAACUGAGAUCCGCCUCUGCAGGCUAUCCAUGGACUUUUAAAUUAUGUUUUUGAGACAUCUGUGGACAAAACAAAGUGCCCUGCCCUCAAGGGAGCCCACAUUCUAACAGAGCAUAUUGACAUUUUUAAAAGGAUGAGACUGUGAUGCCUGGAUGUACAGCCAUCUGUUGACCAUAAUACUGAAAGCCAACAAACUAAGAACGAUGGAGCAGAAAGAAAAAGGCUGAGUCCUUGAUUACUUUCGGCAACUGCAAAUACCAUAGAUUUGGCAUUUGCAUUAAUUUCUUGUUAUAUUAGAAAAAUGAACCCCUAUUUUCAAGCUUUAUUUAGUUUUCAAAUACUUGCAACCCACAUUCCUAAAUGAUACACAGACUUUCCUGUCAUAGAAAGAUUAUGAAGAUGAUAUAUCUUAUAUGAGAAUACUUUUUUGAAGUGUUGUUACAUAAACAAAUAUUUUGAAGCAUCUACCAAAAAUAUAUUUAAUAAAAUAUAUACAGGCAAUAUUCAUGUAGAUUUACCCACGCAUUUACCCUAUCCAUUGCUUUUUCCAAGUUUCAUCUGGAUUUGUUUUCCUUUUGCUAGAGAACACUCUUUCAUAUUUCCUUUAGUGACAAAUUCUGUCAAUUUAUAGUAGUCUGAAAAUGCUCUUAUUUUACUUCAUUUUUGAGGGAUAUCUUCAUCAGGCAUAGAAUUCUAGGUCGGUAGUAAUUUUCUUUUAGCAUUUUGAAGAUAUCACUGCAUUUAUUCUGACUUUCCUAUUUCUGUUAGGAAUUCAGCUAUAAGUUUAAUCUUAUGGCUGUUUCUUUAUAGUUUUUAUUCUGUGGCUGCUUUUAAGACUUUUUUUCUUUGAUUUUUAGUACUUUUAUCGUCACGUGCAUAGGCAUGGUUUUCUUUGUACUUUUUUCUGCUUUGAAUUUUUUUCUUUGUGGCUUUUCUGUUUGUAUAGCUAUUUUAACUAUGGUUAUUUUUAAAUCUUUGGCUGAUAACUUCAGUAUCUGGAUCUUCUGUGGAUCUGUGUCUAUUAUCUGUUUUUAUUCUUAGUUUUGUAUGAAGUCUUGUCUUGAUGUAUAUUGAGUAUGAAAAACCAUAGAGAUAAUUUGUGAUCCUGAAUGAUGUUAUCUUCUUUCACAGAGGAUUUACUUUUGCUCUGAAGGGAAUGGGCCUAGUGAUAAUAUUAAUCUAUCCAAGUAUUGAAAUUAUUAAAAGUGCCUUCAUUCCCUGUAAGUCAGUGGUUCUCAAUACUGGUUGCACAUUAGAACCACACAGGAAGCUUCAAAAAUAUGCAUGUGCCUGGACUCUACUUCAGAGAUCUGAUUCAACUGAUCUGGAGUGAAGCAUUGAUUUUUUGUGGGGGAGUAGUUUUUAAAAACAUUUUUUUGAAAUAAUUAUGGAUUCACAGGAGGUUGCAAAAAAUGCACUGAAAAGCUCACGUAGCCCUUCCCUAAAGCUUACCCCACUGAAUGCAAACAUUUCACACAACUAUAGUACAAUGUCAAAACCAAAAAACGAACAUUGGCACAAUCCAUAGAGCCUAUUCAGAUUUUACCAGUUAUACAUGGACUUGUGUACAUAUGUGUGUGUGUGUGUGUGUGUAUGUGUAGUUCUAUGCAAUUUUUUCACAUCUGUAUCCUCCCUAAAAAGCACCACAAAUGAGAUACUCAACUAUACCGUCACUCCCUGUGUUAUUCCUUUAUAGCCAUACCCAUCCUCUUUCUUUUCUAACCCCUAGCAACCACUGAUCUGUUCUCCAUUCCUGUAAUUGUUCCACGAUUGUUAGACAAAAGGAGUCAUGUAAUAUGUAUCCUUUUUUUUUGUUUUUGGUUCUUUUCACUCAGCAUAAUUUUGUAGAGAUUUUUUGAACUAUGGGGCACUGAUAAAUUUUUUAAUCUUUGUAGGUAAUUCUCAUGUUUAUCCAUGAUUGAGAACCACUGCUAUAAGGGCUGGUCUGUUUCUGGUUCACUGUUACUCUUAGAUCAUAGCCUUUAAAAGUCCCAAACAAAAGGCUGAGGUGUUUUCCAGGGUCACUCCUCCUUUGUGGGCUUUUCCUAGCUCAAGAAUCUUGCCAAAAGUUCUGCUCAACUUCUCAUGCACUUAGAUACCUUUCACUUUCAGAAUUAGCAAUUGCCUUGAAAGAAAUGGAGACGAAAUGCCCGGCUCCCCUUUGUAAACUUUCUUCUUCUUUUGGAUUCUUGGCCCUGUAAAUUCUCAUUCCCUCAGUGGCUUUCUGAUGUCUUUGAACAGAUGUUUAUUUUAUAUUUUGUCCAUUUUGUGUGAUUCUUAUCAGUGCCAGGAUUACUCCAAAAUAACCUAGCCAGCUAUUGCCAAAGAUAGAACUCUAUCUAAUAAUAUCUAAGUAAAAGUAAAAAAGAUUAGUCCUAGAGAAAAUAUAUAGACCAAAGGGAAAGUAAUCGUAAACUAUGAGGAAGAAUUGGUCAUAGAGUAUCUGAUCAUAAGGUUUUAAUAUUUGGUAUAACUAAACCAUAAAUUUGUCUGUGUUGUAUUGGGCAAUGCUUUGUUAUUAAAUUAUAGUUUCUAUUCAUCACAUCACUACAUUACACUUAAAUAAAUGAUAUUAUUUCAUAUAUUUGGUCUUGAAGGGGAAGAUGGCUAUCUCUUAAGACAAAACAUGGCAACUGAAUUCCUAAAUAAAUUAUUAAACAGAUUGAAACAAUAGGCUGAAAACAUUUUUAUUUGCAAAACUUAGUAUUUGUUAAAAGAGAAAACAUUUUCUUACCAUUCCACACUAGAUUUAAAUAGAAAAUGCCAAAUUUGGAGGACUAAGCAUAAUUUAUAUAAAACUGGAG